GCACUGGUUUAGCUCAGAGGUUACUUCGACCAUCAAUCCUCUCUGAAGGAUUCGCUGAUCUCCAUCCCUCCCCGGGCUCGAACCUCGGGCGCUGUCCAGUGUUUUU
Vault RNA from Larimichthys crocea (large yellow croaker), 106 nucleotides. Its record names the gene Vault. It matches the Rfam family "Vault RNA". From Rfam's summary of the family: This family of RNAs are found as part of the enigmatic vault ribonucleoprotein complex. The complex consists of a major vault protein (MVP), two minor vault proteins (VPARP and TEP1), and several small untranslated RNA molecules. NCBI's taxonomy places the organism in Eukaryota, Metazoa, Chordata, Actinopteri, Sciaenidae. The record is from Ensembl.